This 406-nucleotide ribosomal RNA is filed under the name uncultured bacterium. RNAcentral's name for it is "partial 16S ribosomal RNA". It matches the Rfam family "Bacterial small subunit ribosomal RNA", at positions 30 to 526 of the family's 1533-position model. The record is from RNAcentral.
AUUGAACGCUGGCGGCAGGCCUAACACAUGCAAGUCGAACGAGUGGCGGACGGGUGAGUAAUGUCUGGGAAACUGCCUGAUGGAGGGGGAUAACUACUGGAAACGGUAGCUAAUACCGCAUACCAUCGGAUGUGCCCAGAGUGGAUUAGCUAGUAGUGGGGGAAAAGGCUCACCUAGGCGACGAUCCCUAGCUGGUCUGCGAGGAUGAACAGCCACCCUGUAACUGAGACACGGCCCAGACGCCUACGUGAGGCAGCAGUGGGGAAUAUUGCACAAUGGGCGCAAGCCUGAUGGAGCCAUGCCGCGUGUAUGAAGAAGGCCUUCGGGUUGUAAAGUACUUUCAGCGGGGAGGCGUUACCCGCAGAAGAAGCACCGGCUAACUCCGUGCCAGCAGCCGCGGUAAUUC